GUACACACGUCCCUCCAUAUGGCUCGCCUAAAGCUGAAGAAGCUGGAGGAGUAUCUGCAGUGUGUCGAUGGCUUUGAACAGCCAAAGAUUCUGCUGGAACAGUAUCCAACACCACCCCACAUAGCUGCUUGCAUGGCGCACCACAUGCAAGCCCAGCACGACGACAUUGAGGGGAAGUUUGUGGCUGAUCUGGGAUGUGGUUGCGGUAUGCUCAGCAUUGCCGCCACAUUACUGGGAGCGCAGCUUACUGUUGGCUUCGAGCUCGAUGACGCUGCCGUUGACAUUUACCGCCAGAAUGUGCUGGACAUGGAGCUGCCAAAUGCAGAUUGUGUGCGUGCGAAUGUGCUGCAAUUGCCGGGCAGUAAGUGGGAUAAUGCCUUCGACACGGUGGUUAUGAAUCCGCCCUUUGGCACCAAACAUAAUGCUGGCAUGGAUAUGCGGUUUUUGAAUGUGGGCAUGCGUCUGGCCACAGGAGCUGUCUACUCGCUGCACAAAACCUCCACACGGUGAGUGAGCAGCUGCAAUAGUCUUAAAAAUAAUAUGCUCUGACUAAGUACCUGGAAUGGGAGAGAGGAAUGUGAACGUUAUGCUAUCGACUAUAGGCUGUAAAUUUAAAAUUUGUACUUUAUUUAUUGAUGUUAAUGGUGCUAUCAGAACAGAAUUCAAGUCGGAACGGUAUAUCAAUAACUAAUUACAGUUAAUAUGCGCGGGCAGCUAAAUUAGACGGAACAUUGAGGAAAUUCUCAGUUAUUUCUACAGAUAAUAUAAGCUCUUCUAUAUUAUGUAGUUUUAUAUGUCAUCUACAAAAUAAAUAAGAACCCUUUUUCUCAACUCUGUUAUAAGAAGCAAAACUGUGUUAUCGAUCUGUAAGCAAGAUUGUUGCGGAGAUUAGGAGAUUAUUUAGAAAUCUUUCAACUCAGGAAUGAGGAGCACAAGUUUGUGAAGGUAUUGAGAAAAUACUUACAUCCAAAA
RNA transcript from Drosophila novamexicana, 972 nucleotides. It is a transcript of the gene named methyltransferase-like protein 5, with no coding region annotated. Lineage: Eukaryota; Metazoa; Arthropoda; Insecta; Diptera; Drosophilidae. The transcript is spliced from 2 exons. The record is from RefSeq and is a predicted model, not a curated record.